AGUUUUAUGUUAUUUGAAGUUUGAAAGAAUAUUCACAUUUUGAUGUUGAAUUUUUUUUUUUUGUUUUUUGCGCGUCACCUCACUCAAGCUCGUGCCUGUGCCUUGCGCCUAGGCUCUAGAACCCCUGGGCCCCUUUGUGCGCCGUGAGCCUUUAAUAACUAUUAUAUGAUGUAAUUUACACUCACCCAAACUGAAUAUAACUGCUUAGCUAUGCAUUUCUAGUUGGUAAUUUCAGUGCAGAUUCUUGCCUAAGAUCAAAAUAAUAGAAAUAAUCAUUGGAACAUGAACUAGAUGCCUAUGACAAACAUUUCAGACCUCUUAUCUUAAAUUCUAUCUGAAAUCUGGCAGUUAUAAAUGUUUUAAUGAGCAUCACAACACAAGCAGUUCAUUAAUUAUUUCUAAAUAUCCUUCUUGGACUUUCAUUGAUUGUUUUCCUUUUCUUAAUCCAUGUUCCAAUAUCAAAAUUCCACAUUUAGGUGGUCCACAGUUUCUCUUCAAGC
This 500-nucleotide unclassified non-coding RNA is filed under the name Hevea brasiliensis (rubber tree). The record is from RNAcentral. Lineage: Eukaryota; Viridiplantae; Streptophyta; Magnoliopsida; Malpighiales; Euphorbiaceae.